AGUGGGACAGCUGGGUCAAAUGGUGGUUCCCUUCCAAGUUUUCUGAGGAACCCCCUUAAUACUUUCCAAAGUGAUUGCACCAAUUUGCAGUCCCACCAGCAAU
This 103-nucleotide microRNA precursor is filed under the name Marmota monax (woodchuck). The record is from RNAcentral. Lineage: Eukaryota; Metazoa; Chordata; Mammalia; Rodentia; Sciuridae.